Molecule: small RNA, 21 nt
Filed under: Karenia brevis
Lineage: Eukaryota; Dinophyceae; Gymnodiniales; Kareniaceae
Description: trans-spliced leader sequence SL
Source: RNAcentral
UAGCCAUGUUGGCUCGCUCAA